AUACGGAGGGUGCAAGCGUUAUUCGGAUUUAUUGGGUUUAAAGGGUGCGUAGGCGGAUCGGUCAGUCAGUGGUGAAAUCCCAUAGCUUAACUAUGGAACUGCCAUUGAUACUGCCAAUCUCGAGUAUAGUUGAAGUGGAUGGAAUGUAACAUGUAGCGGUGAAAUGCAUAGAUAUGUUACAGAACACCGAUUGCGAAGGCAGUUCACUAAACUAUUACUGACGCUGAGGCACGAAAGCGUGGGGAGCGAACAGGAUUAGAAACCCUAGUAGUCC
RNAcentral lists this ribosomal RNA (274 nucleotides) under uncultured bacterium. RNAcentral's name for it is "partial 16S ribosomal RNA". It matches the Rfam family "Bacterial small subunit ribosomal RNA", at positions 523 to 796 of the family's 1533-position model. The record is from RNAcentral.